CUGUCCUACGGGGCGCAGCAGUAGGGAAUUUUCGUCAAUGGGCGCAAGCCUGAACGAGCAAUGCCGCGUGAACGAGGAAGGUCUUCGGAUCGUAAAGUUCUGUUGAAGGGGAAAAAGAGCGGAGAGAGGAAAUGAACUCCGAUUGAUAUUACCCUUCGAGGAAGUCACGGCUAACUACGUGCCAGCAGCCGCGGUAAUACGUAGGUGGCGAGCGUUAUCCGGAAUGAUUGGGCGUAAAGGGUGCGUAGGCGGCCUGCUAAGUCUGGAGUGAUAGGGACGGGCUCAACCGGACCAGUCUCCGGAAA
This 305-nucleotide ribosomal RNA is filed under the name uncultured bacterium. RNAcentral's name for it is "bacterial SSU rRNA". It matches the Rfam family "Bacterial small subunit ribosomal RNA", at positions 334 to 632 of the family's 1533-position model. The record is from RNAcentral.